GACGAACGCUGGCGGCGUGCUUAACACAUGCAAGUCGAACGGAAAGGCCCUGCUUUUGUGGGGUGCUCGAGUGGCGAAAGGGUGAGUAACACGUGAGUAACCUGCCCUUGACUUUGGGAUAACUUCAGGAAACUGGGGCUAAUACCGGAUAGGAGCUCCUGCUGCAUGGUGGGGGUUGGAAAGUUUCGGCGGUUGGGGAUGGACUCGCGGCUUAUCAGCUUGUUGGUGGGGUAGUGGCUUACCAAGGCUUUGACGGGUAGCCGGCCUGAGAGGGUGACCGGCCACAUUGGGACUGAACUACGGCCCGGACUACUACGGGAGGCAGCGGUGGGGAGUAGUGCACAAGGGGAGGAGGCCUGAUGCGGCACCGCCGCGUGCGGGAUGCGGGCCUGCGGGUUGUAAACCACUUUCCCCUGUGACGAAGCGUGAGUGACGGUACUGGGUAAAGAAGCCCCGGCUAACUUCGUG
Molecule: ribosomal RNA, 468 nt
Filed under: uncultured bacterium
Lineage: Bacteria
Description: partial 16S ribosomal RNA
Rfam family: Bacterial small subunit ribosomal RNA
Source: RNAcentral